UCUCGGCUCACCACAACCUCCGUCUCCCAGGUUCAAACUAUUCUCCUGCCUCAGCCUUCUAAGUAGCUGGGAUUACAGGCAUGCGCCACCAUGCCCGGCUACACUUGCAGACUUUUUGCCUGCCCUGGGACCUAAAACAAGACCUUUGACACUCACAGCUUGACAGCUCAUUGUCCCCUCACCCAAACUCCCACACUGGUCCCCUGAAGUCCCUCCUCUGCUCUUCUGCCUCUGCAUGUGCGCCAUUGUAAGCCCUUGUUUCUCUGCAGUGCUCGCACACUCUGCAGGCCUCCCCCGGCCUCCAAUCCCCAUUGCUCCCCCCGUGAGGGUGGUGCUAGCCAUUUGCACACUCGAUCCACCACAGCUGGACCCCUGUGCUGGGGACUUCUUUAUGCAACGUGACGUUUUGCACAAAAAACGCAGGCCUCAUGGGUCCUAGCACCCCUCCCUUCCCACCCCCGAGUACAGCAUUCUCAGGAUCCCAUCCCCCACACAUGAAGACAGCCCUCUCUCACCAGAUCGGAACUUGGAGCGAAUGAUUUGGGAACGCUGGGAGGAGGCCGCCAGGGUCAUUGCCAAGGCCGGGAUGGGGACCUGGACGGAGAGGGGGCAGGGCAGGGGCCCCAUCGUGGGCUGGCUCACAGUGGAGGUCAGAAGGCUGGCCCUGUGAGUGAAUUCAGCAGGGAAAGGGCCCGAGGGAGGUGGGAAUAGGAGCAGCCUUGGGCCAUAACUUCUGGAUCCCAGGGGCUGUAGAGCAGGGGGCUGCAGACCUGGACACCUUGCUCCGAGCUCCCAGCCAACCUUCACCUCUUUCCAUCAGCGAGUUGAGAAGGGAUGCAUUGGAGAAGAAGAACAAGUAGCCAAAAGUCUGAGACACGAGGUCAGGGUGCAGCUCGCACUGGCUGGUCAGCUCCAAGGCGGCCUGGAACACGCCUAGGGUCCAGUGGCUUUGUGCUUCCUCGCCUCCAAGAAUGAAUUUGCUCACUACUAUCCAAACUCCAAGCCCAAUGGGCUGUAGUGAAUUCUCACAUUGACCUCUCCCAACUUCUCAUCCAGUGGGAUCUCUCCCCCAUCAUCUCCCAUAAUGGCUUCUUCCUAAGGUCCGAUUUGGGCGUCGGCUGCCCCUGGGGCCAUGCUAAGUGCCUGCUGUCUCCGCUCCUGCUGCCGCCGCCGCCGCCCCUGAAGGCUAAGCUCCGACACGCUGCGCCGCAAGGACAAGUUUUCCGAGCGCUCCUUGCCUCCAGACCCAGCUGGGGCCCCCGAUCCCGUCACCUGGCCAGGACUGGCCAGCGCCGCCCCGCCCGACGCCGCCCGGGAGCGGUUCUUCUGUGGCCGCCACGAAGGGGCGCCCGUGCCUGCCGAGAGAUGGAGAACAGUGAGGCUGAGCCUGGAAAGACAGGGACAGACACAGAGUUGCAGAUGAUGAGACAAAUAACUGGUUGCAGAGAGGUGAUGCUGCUUCCCACAUUUAGGAUUUAGGCUUUUGGGUAUUCUGUUCCCUGUGCCUGGAACACCCUUCUCUCCUGAUUAAUACCCAUCUUGCAGUUUUCAGCUCAGGAAUUUCAUUCAUUCUUUUCCAUUGAAU
Chlorocebus sabaeus (green monkey) is the source of this 1585-nucleotide long non-coding RNA. RefSeq lists it as uncharacterized. The record is from RefSeq and is a predicted model, not a curated record. Lineage: Eukaryota; Metazoa; Chordata; Mammalia; Primates; Cercopithecidae.